This is a non-coding RNA of Podarcis lilfordi (Lilford's wall lizard), 175 nucleotides long. The record is from the annotation of a GenBank genome assembly. Lineage: Eukaryota; Metazoa; Chordata; Lepidosauria; Squamata; Lacertidae.
GGAUGUGAGGGCGAUCUGGCUGCAACAUCCAUUGUCCCAUUGAUCGCCAGGGUUGAUUUGGCUGAUCUGGCUAGUUAGGCAAGUGUCUCCUUCCUCCCUCAUCGGUCCAUGCACACCCCCCUGUCAGUACGCCUUUGAGCCGAUGCCAAGGACUGGGCUCAACAACAGGAUCUGC